Molecule: non-coding RNA, 182 nt
Filed under: Desulfurispirillum indicum S5
Lineage: Bacteria; Pseudomonadati; Chrysiogenota; Chrysiogenia; Chrysiogenales; Chrysiogenaceae
Also listed under: 1 other name
Description: 6S / SsrS RNA
Rfam family: 6S / SsrS RNA
About the family: E. coli 6S RNA was the first non coding RNA to be sequenced, but its function was unknown until recently. It consists of 184 nucleotides that fold into an extended hairpin structure with a large single-stranded internal bulge.
Source: Rfam by way of RNAcentral
AUUCCCCUGCGCUGAUACGUGAUGAAGUGGUGGUUUUGAGCCAAUGCUAAGUGAACGGGAUACCGGCCUGUGGGUGGUGUGCACGCCUCCCUUGCGGAGGAAGCCUGAAACCCUGCACUGGUAGCCCACCUGGUUAGACCAGGUUCAAAUGCACCCACUCACACGACAUGUGCGGGGGUUUU